GAAUCCCGUCUUUGGCAUGGAUGACCGGGGCUUUUGUGAUGCGCUCUCGAAGAGUCGAGUUGUUUGGGAAUGCAGCUCAAAAUGGGUGGUGAACUCCAUCUAAAGCUAAAUAUUGGCGAGAGACCGAUAGCGAACAAGUACCGUGAGGGAAAGAUGAAAAGCACUUUGGAAAGAGAGUGAAACAGUACGUGAAAUUGUUGAAAGGGAAACGCUUGAAGUCAGUCGCGUCGGCCGAGACUCAGCCUUGCCUCGGCUUGGUGUACUUCUUGACCGACGGGUCAGCAUCAAUUUUGCCCCUUGGAUAAUGGCGAGGGAAAUGUGACACCUUUAUAGGUGUGUUAUAGUCUCUCGUCGCAUGCAAGGGUCGGGAUUGAGGAACUCAGCACGCGCCUUCGGGCGUCGGGGCCUUGCCCACGAUACGUGCUUAGGAUGUUGGCGUAAUGGCUUUAAACGACCCGUCUUGAAACACGGACCAAGGAGUCUAACAUGCCCGCGAGUGUUCGGGUGGAAAACCCGUGCGCGCAAUGAAAGUGAAAGUUGGGACCUCUGUCGCGGAGGGCACCGACGCCCGGACCAGAGCUUCUGCGACGGAUCUGCGGUGGAGCAUGUAUGUUAGGACCCGAAAGAUGGUGAACUAUGCCUGAAUAGGGUGAAGCCAGAGGAAACUCUGGUGGAGGCUCGUAGCGAUUCUGACGUGCAAAUCGAUCGUCAAAUUUGGGUAUAGGGGCGAAAGACUAAUCGAACCAUCUAGUAGCUGGUUCCUGCC
RNAcentral lists this ribosomal RNA (766 nucleotides) under uncultured Russula. Its description in RNAcentral is "partial 28S ribosomal RNA". It matches the Rfam family "Eukaryotic large subunit ribosomal RNA", at positions 216 to 962 of the family's 3401-position model. The record is from RNAcentral. Lineage: Eukaryota; Fungi; Basidiomycota; Agaricomycetes; Russulales; Russulaceae.